Molecule: ribosomal RNA, 253 nt
Filed under: uncultured bacterium
Lineage: Bacteria
Description: partial 16S ribosomal RNA
Rfam family: Bacterial small subunit ribosomal RNA
Source: RNAcentral
UACGUAGGGUGCAAGCGUUGUCCGGAAUUAUUGGGCGUAAAGAGCUCGUAGGCGGUUUGUCGCGUCUGCUGUGAAAACUCGGGGCUUAACCCCGGGCCUGCAGUGGGUACGGGCAGACUAGAGUGCGGUAGGGGAGACUGGAAUUCCUGGUGUAGCGGUGAAAUGCGCAGAUAUCAGGAGGAACACCGGUGGCGAAGGCGGCGCUCUGGGCCGGUACUGACACUGAGGAGCGAAAGCGUGGGUAGCAAACAGG